Molecule: ribosomal RNA, 1106 nt
Filed under: uncultured bacterium
Lineage: Bacteria
Description: bacterial SSU rRNA
Rfam family: Bacterial small subunit ribosomal RNA
Source: RNAcentral
GUUUGAUCCUGGCUCAGAUUGAACGCUGGCGGCAUGCCUUACACAUGCAAGUCGAACGGCAGCGCGGACUUCGGUCUGGCGGCGAGUGGCGAACGGGUGAGUAAUACAUCGGAACGUACCCUGUUGUGGGGGAUAACUAGUCGAAAGAUUAGCUAAUACCGCAUACGACCUGAGGGUGAAAGUGGGGGACCGCAAGGCCUCACGCAGCAGGAGCGGCCGAUGUCUGAUUAGCUAGUUGGUGGGGUAAAGGCCCACCAAGGCGACGAUCAGUAGCUGGUCUGAGAGGACGAUCAGCCACACUGGGACUGAGACACGGCCCAGACUCCUACGGGAGGCAGCAGUGGGGAAUUUUGGACAAUGGGGGCAACCCUGAUCCAGCAAUGCCGCGUGUGUGAAGAAGGCCUUCGGGUUGUAAAGCACUUUUGUCCGGAAAGAAAUCGCGCUGGUUAAUACCUGGCGUGGAUGACGGUACCGGAAGAAUAAGCACCGGCUAACUACGUGCCAGCAGCCGCGGUAAUACGUAGGGUGCGAGCGUUAAUCGGAAUUACUGGGCGUAAAGCGUGCGCAGGCGGUUUUGUAAGACAGGCGUGAAAUCCCCGGGCUUAACCUGGGAAUUGCGCUUGUGACUGCAAGGCUAGAGUGCGUCAGAGGGGGGUAGAAUUCCACGUGUAGCAGUGAAAUGCGUAGAGAUGUGGAGGAAUACCGAUGGCGAAGGCAGCCCCCUGGGACGUGACUGACGCUCAUGCACGAAAGCGUGGGGAGCAAACAGGAUUAGAUACCCUGGUAGUCCACGCCCUAAACGAUGUCAACUAGUUGUUGGGGAUUCAUUUUCUCAGUAACGUAGCUAACGCGUGAAGUUGACCGCCUGGGGAGUACGGUCGCAAGAUUAAACUCAAGGAAUUGACGGGGACCCGCACAGCGGGGAUGAUGUUGGAUUAAUUCGAUGCAACGCGAAAACCUUACCUACUCUUGAACAUGCCACUAACGAAGCAGAGAUGCAUUAGUGCCCGAAAGGGCAAGUGACACAGGUGCUGCAUGCUGUCGUCAGCUCGUGUCUGAAUGUGGAUAGUCCGCACUAGCCCACCUUGAUUCUAGUUGCUACGCAG